GCGGCUGGCGUGUGGGAAGUCAGUCAGUGGUCGACAGCGAUAGGAUGCAAGUCAUCAACUAAGAGCGACCAGCCAGCUCUACAGCAGGAUCUCCCAGUGGUAAAUAUAAUAAACCAGGAUAGGUCCAACACUAACAACGAUUCUCCCCGCUGACUUUCGGGUCCGAUAACAACAACAACCGUACCUUCCCCAUUACUGACUUAAGGGUCCGUUACCUACAUAUCUCUCCUACCUCCCGUAAUCGCUGACUUCAGGGUCCCCCAGCAUUUCUACGUAUUCUCAGGCAUUGCACGACAUCCAGGCACCGAACACGAGGGACCCGUUUCCAGCCGGAGGAUCCAAACGCGAGAAGCCCCACGCCGACCGCACCGAACAAGCCCCUAUACCAUUCCCUACCAUAUCAAUCCGUUUAGAAAUUUGAAUAAAUCAUCUCUGUAUAAGCCUUAUUAAGGCUGAAA
Drosophila yakuba is the source of this 458-nucleotide long non-coding RNA. RefSeq lists it as uncharacterized. The record is from RefSeq and is a predicted model, not a curated record. NCBI's taxonomy places the organism in Eukaryota, Metazoa, Arthropoda, Insecta, Diptera, Drosophilidae. The transcript has 2 exons.